Molecule: ribosomal RNA, 343 nt
Filed under: uncultured bacterium
Lineage: Bacteria
Description: bacterial SSU rRNA
Rfam family: Bacterial small subunit ribosomal RNA
Source: RNAcentral
GAUGAACGCCGGCGGUGUGCCUAAUACAUGCAAGCCGUACGCACUGGCCCAACUGAUUGAUGGUGCUUGCACCUGAUUGACGAUGGAUCACCAGUGAGUGGCGGACGGGUGAGUAACACGUAGGUAACUUGCCCCGGAGCGGGGGAUAACAUUUGGAAACAGAUGCUAAUACCGCAUAACAACAAAAGCCACAUGGCUUUUGUUUGAAAGAUGGCUUUGGCUAUCACUCUGGGAUGGACCUGCGGUGCAUUAGCUAGUUGGUAAGGUAAUGGCCUACCAAGCCGACGAUCAGUAGCCGACCUGAGAGGGUGACCGGCCACAUUGGGACUGAGACACGGCCCAA